This 433-nucleotide ribosomal RNA is filed under the name uncultured bacterium. RNAcentral describes it as "partial 16S ribosomal RNA". It matches the Rfam family "Bacterial small subunit ribosomal RNA", at positions 29 to 507 of the family's 1533-position model. The record is from RNAcentral.
AACGAACGCUGGCGGCAUGCCUAACACAUGCAAGUCGAACGAGACCUUCGGGUCUAGUGGCGCACGGGUGCGUAACGCGUGGGAACCUGCCCUUAGGUUCGGAAUAACUCCCCGAAAGGGGUGCUAAUACCGGAUAAUGUCUUCGGACCAAAGAUUUAUCGCCUUUGGAUGGGCCCGCGUUGAAUUAGCUAGUUGGUAGGGUAAAAGCCUACCAAGGCGACGAUCCAUAGCUGGUCUGAGAGGAUGAUCAGCCACACUGGGACUGAGACACGGCCCAGACUCCUACGGGAAGCAGCAGUGGGGAAUAUUGGACAAUGGGCGAAAGCCUGAUCCAGCAAUGCCGCGUGAGUGAUGAAGGCCUUAGGGUUGUGAAGCUCUUUUACCCGGGAUGAUAAUGACAGUACCGGGAGAAUAAGCUCCGGCUAACUCCGUG